RNAcentral lists this ribosomal RNA (486 nucleotides) under uncultured bacterium. Its description in RNAcentral is "partial 16S ribosomal RNA". It matches the Rfam family "Bacterial small subunit ribosomal RNA", at positions 30 to 507 of the family's 1533-position model. The record is from RNAcentral.
AUUGAACGCUGGCGGCAUGCCUUACACAUGCAAGUCGAACGGCAGCACGGGUGCUUGCACCUGGUGGCGAGUGGCGAACGGGUGAGUAAUACAUCGGAACAUGUCCUGUAGUGGGGGAUAGCCCGGCGAAAGCCGGAUUAAUACCGCAUACGAUCUACGGAUGAAAGCGGGGGACCUUCGGGCCUCGCGCUAUAGGGUUGGCCGAUGGCUGAUUAGCUAGUUGAUGGGGUAAAGGCCUACCAAGGCGACGAUCAGUAGCUGGUCUGAGAGGACGACCAGCCACACUGGGACUGAGACACGGCCCAGACUCCUACGGGAGGCAGCAGUGGGGAAUUUUGGACAAUGGGCGAAAGCCUGAUCCAGCAAUGCCGCGUGUGUGAAGAAGGCCUUCGGGUUGUAAAGCACUUUUGUCCGGAAAGAAAUCCUUGGCUCUAAUACAGUCGGGGGAUGACGGUACCGGAAGAAUAAGCACCGGCUAACUACGUG